CCCUUAGAUGUCCUGGGCCGCACGCGCGCUACGCUGACAUGUUCAACAAGCCUCCUAGUUCGACAGGAUUUGGGAAAUCUUUGAACGCAUGUCGUGAUAGGGAUAGAUCAUUGCAAUUAUUGAUCUUGAACGAGGAAUUCCUAGUAAACGCGAGUCAUCAGCUCGCAUUGAUUACGUCCCUGCCCUUUGUACACACCGCCCGUCGCACCUACCGAUUGGAUGGUCCGGUGAAGCCUCGGGAUUGUGGUUCUUGCCGCUUUAUUGUGGCGUGACCGCGAGAACUUGUCUAAACCUUAUCAUCUAGAGGAAGGUGAAGUCGUAACA
This 324-nucleotide ribosomal RNA is filed under the name uncultured eukaryote. RNAcentral describes it as "partial 18S ribosomal RNA". It matches the Rfam family "Eukaryotic small subunit ribosomal RNA", at positions 1470 to 1796 of the family's 1831-position model. The record is from RNAcentral.